This 490-nucleotide ribosomal RNA is filed under the name uncultured bacterium. RNAcentral's name for it is "partial 16S ribosomal RNA". It matches the Rfam family "Bacterial small subunit ribosomal RNA", at positions 30 to 507 of the family's 1533-position model. The record is from RNAcentral.
AUUGAACGCUGGCGGCAUGCCUUACACAUUCAAGUCGAACGGCAGCAUUAUCUAGCUUGCUAGAUUGAUUGCGAGUGGCGAACGGGUGAGUAAUACAUCGGAACGUUCCCUGUAGUGGGGGAUAACUAGUCGAAAGAUUAUCUAAUACCGCAUACGACCUGAGGGUGAAAGUGGGGGACCGCAAGGCCUCAUUCCAUUUGAUCGGCCGAUGUCUGAUUAGCUAGUUGGUGAGGUAAAGGCUCACCAAGGCGACGAUCAGUAGCUGGUCUGAGAGGACGAUCAGCCACACUGGGACUGAGACACGGCCCAGACUCCUACGGGAGGCAGCAGUGGGGAAUUUUGGACAAUGGGCGAAAGCCUGAUCCAGCAAUGCCGCGUGUGUGAAGAAGGCCUUCGGGUUGUAAAGCACUUUUGUCCGGAAAGAAAUGGCUCUGGUUAAUACCUGGGGUCGAUGACGGUACCGGAAGAAUAAGGACCGGCUAACUACGUG